GACGAACGCUGGCGGCGUGCCUAAUACAUGCAAGUAGAACGCUGAAGGGAGAGCUUGCUCUUCUGGAUGAGUUGCGAACGGGUGAGUAACGCGUAGGUAACCUGCCUGGUAGCGGGGGAUAACUAUUGGAAACGAUAGCUAAUACCGCAUAAGAGUAGAUGUUGCAUGACAUUUGCUUAAAAGGUGCAAUUGCAUCACUACCAGAUGGACCUGCGUUGUAUUAGCUAGUUGGUGGGGUAACGGCUCACCAAGGCGACGAUACAUAGCCGACCUGAGAGGGUGAUCGGCCACACUGGGACUGAGACACGGCCCAGACUCCUACGGGAGGCAGCAGUAGGGAAUCUUCGGCAAUGGACGGAAGUCUGACCGAGCAACGCCGCGUGAGUGAAGAAGGUUUUCGGAUCGUAAAGCUCUGUUGUAAGAGAAGAACGAGUGUGAGAGUGGAAAGUUCACACUGUGACG
Molecule: ribosomal RNA, 462 nt
Filed under: Streptococcus sp. oral taxon 064
Lineage: Bacteria; Bacillati; Bacillota; Bacilli; Lactobacillales; Streptococcaceae
Description: bacterial SSU rRNA
Rfam family: Bacterial small subunit ribosomal RNA
Source: RNAcentral